UUAAAAAAAAAACCUAAUCUCUUUGCUCUCAUCUCAUCAACGCAUUCUUGCAAGAGUGUUUUACCUAAAUAGUCAGUCUUUUUUGCUUAUGGUUGCUGCUGUUGAUGGCUUUUCCGGCGAGAUAGUGUUGGCUUUACGCUUUACGUCGUCAGCUCAGCUCUUUCGAUUCUCCCAAUUAGCUUUCAUCGAAUCGAUGAUCAUGCCAAAUCAACACGUAUCAAGUCUCUGCUCUCGCGGAUCCCCGAGAUCAUUAAUCACACCAGAUCACUCUACGAGAGUAAUCCAUAGAUGAUUGAGAUGCAAAUCCUCGUCCGUUACUCAAACUGCGUUGGUCUAAGUGGAUGAUCGAUCUGAUUCAGAACAUAUCUGCAAGACGACGGUGGACUUUUCGAGUUUAGCAUUGGUAAUGGGCAAACUGCGUGGGUCCUCUUCGCUACCCUACUUCAACCAAGGAGAUAGCUCUAUUGGGUUGCCCUAAAACAUCAUCUCCCACGAGUAGCCAGCGUAUAUAAGUUGCGUUUUCUUUCUUUACCUCUCCAAUCUCAUUGUUUUUUUAUGGUUUAGGAUUUGAAGGGAAAUUGUAAGCUUUUCGUAUUUGGGCAGUGUUUAAUUUUGUGUUAGGUCAUCUAACAAAGCAAGAUUGGUUUUAACUAUGUACCAAUUUUGUGUCGGAAGUUGACAACAUUAGUUAAUUGACCUCCAUGGGCAUAUUUAUCUUCAUGGAACUCUUCUCUUCCAUGGUGUAGCUCUAUGGAGGUCACACUUCCACAUCUGUAUUUUAUGUAUCUCUGUCCGAAACAAUCUCUAAUCAUUGCCAUUGGCUGAGUUCAUGAUAUUAGUUAUCUUGUUGUAGUCUUUGCUUAGAACAGUGGUUUUUAUUGUUUGUUGAAUCUUUAAGUUACUGUUUUUUUUUUAGAUUCCAAUUUUUUUUGUUUGCAGUCAUCCUUAAAGCAAAUAGGUUAUAUAACCUCUUUACCAAAUUUGUGUCGGAAGAUGACGACAUUGAUUUUUGCCUCUCCAUGACAAUUUUUUCAUUGGGAUGAUUCUUCUCUUCCAUUGAGUAAAAUCUAUGGAGGGGCACAUUUUUGGGUUUUAAACAUUACAUUAUUUCAGCAGCCUGAUGAUUUCUUGGAUGAAACAAUACCAACAACAAAAAUUGAAACAGAGCAGUAACAAGAGAAACGGUCUUAAUUUUAGUAAUAUGAUUCAUUGAGGAUAUUACUGAGUCUGAUAUAUAAGUGAGACCUGCUUUGAUAUUAUGGGUUUUGCUGAGUAAUGGGAAUAAUUGAGUUUGAAAUUGAAUGUCAUAAAAUAUUCUCCCCCAA
This is a non-coding RNA of Camelina sativa (false flax), 1325 nucleotides long. NCBI's taxonomy places the organism in Eukaryota, Viridiplantae, Streptophyta, Magnoliopsida, Brassicales, Brassicaceae. The record is from RefSeq and is a predicted model, not a curated record.